Molecule: transfer RNA, 73 nt
Filed under: Actinoplanes sp. ATCC 53533
Lineage: Bacteria; Bacillati; Actinomycetota; Actinomycetes; Micromonosporales; Micromonosporaceae
Also listed under: 1 other name
Rfam family: tRNA
About the family: Transfer RNA (tRNA) molecules are approximately 80 nucleotides in length.
Source: Rfam by way of RNAcentral
GCCCGGGUAGCCCAACGGAAGAGGCGUCCGAUUCAGGGUCGGAAGGUUGAGGGUUCGAAUCCCCCUCCGGGUA